UCCGAUAUGGUGUAGUGGCUAACAUCGCUCGCUCUCAAUAACCUUUGAACCGAGCAGCCCUGGGUUCGAUUCCCAGUAUCGGAG
This 84-nucleotide transfer RNA is filed under the name Trichoderma gamsii. It matches the Rfam family "tRNA". Rfam says of the family: Transfer RNA (tRNA) molecules are approximately 80 nucleotides in length. Their secondary structure includes four short double-helical elements and three loops (D, anti-codon, and T loops). Lineage: Eukaryota; Fungi; Ascomycota; Sordariomycetes; Hypocreales; Hypocreaceae. The record is from Rfam by way of RNAcentral.